AGCUUUACACAUUGGCAGUAUCAUAGCCAAUGAGAUUUAUCCAAGGCGUGAUUAUUGCUAAUUGAAGCAUCUAUUCUGUUACUUACUGCUUCCAUUGUGUUUUUUAAUGUAUCAUGAUUGUCUUUCAGAAUUUUUUUUCUAACA
Molecule: small nuclear RNA, 144 nt
Organism: Talpa occidentalis (Iberian mole)
Lineage: Eukaryota; Metazoa; Chordata; Mammalia; Eulipotyphla; Talpidae
Product: U4 spliceosomal RNA
Exons: 1
Source: RefSeq, a predicted model, not a curated record